GUCGGUAUGGAUUAGGGGGGAAAUCACUUCGUUGUGGUAAUAUCAUUCCGAAGAGACGUUGGUUCGAUACCAGCUACCGACA
RNAcentral lists this transfer RNA (82 nucleotides) under Armillaria gallica. RNAcentral's name for it is "tRNA-His". The record is from RNAcentral. Lineage: Eukaryota; Fungi; Basidiomycota; Agaricomycetes; Agaricales; Physalacriaceae.